CUCUGCCGGCAUUAUCAGAAGCACCAGGUGAUGAGAAAGGUGGAUGCGCUGAAGCACGAAGCAGCGUGGGACUGCAAUGAGCUACUGAUCCUUAACAAAUAAUUUGCCCCUCAGGGUUCCUGACACUGAUGCCGCGAGGAAACAGAGCUGGCUGAAGUUCACUCACAAGGAGGAGAAAGGGAAAUAAAUUAAACCCAACUUUCCUUGGCAGCUGUGUUUGCAGAGGAAAAACACCACUUCAUCCCAAACACCAGUGCAAUCCCCAAAGAUGGUCGAUCUUGGGACCGGCGCUCUUCAACAUCUUCAUCAUUGACAAAGACGAUGGCAUCAAGUGCACCCUCAGCAAGUUUGCGGAUGACACCAAGCUCAGCGGUGCAGUCGAUACGUUGGAAGGAAGGGAAGCCAUCCAGAGGGACCUGGAGAGGCUGGAGAAGCAGGCCCAUGAAAACCCAAUGAGGUUCAAUAACUUGCAAUACUGCACUUGGGUCAGGG
RNAcentral lists this long non-coding RNA (492 nucleotides) under Gallus gallus (chicken). RNAcentral describes it as "lncRNA (ENSGALG00010003373.1)". Lineage: Eukaryota; Metazoa; Chordata; Aves; Galliformes; Phasianidae. The record is from RNAcentral.